Non-coding RNA from Triticum aestivum (bread wheat), 135 nucleotides. The record is from Rfam. NCBI's taxonomy places the organism in Eukaryota, Viridiplantae, Streptophyta, Magnoliopsida, Poales, Poaceae.
CAACUACUCCCUCUGUCCCAAAUUUCUUGUCUUAGAUUUGUCUAGAUACGGAUGUAUCUAAUACUAAAAUGUGACUUGAUACAUCCGUAUCUAGACAAAUCUAAGAAAAGAAUUUUGGGACGGAGGGAGUACUUU